GACGUAGGGCGCGAGCGUUGUCCGGAUUUAUUGGGCGUAAAGAGCUCGUAGGCGGCUCAUUGCGUCAACCAUGAAAACCUGCCGCUCAACGGUAGGCUUGCGGUUGAUACGGGUGGGCUGGAGUUCGGUAGGGGAGACUGGAAUUCCUGGUGUAGCGGUGAAAUGCGCAGAUAUCAGGAGGAACACCGGUGGCGAAGGCGGGUCUCUGGGCCGAUACUGACGCUGAGGAGCGAAAGCGUGGGGAGCGAACAGG
RNAcentral lists this ribosomal RNA (253 nucleotides) under uncultured bacterium. RNAcentral describes it as "partial 16S ribosomal RNA". It matches the Rfam family "Bacterial small subunit ribosomal RNA", at positions 524 to 776 of the family's 1533-position model. The record is from RNAcentral.